UAUAGUUCAGUGGUAGAACACUUGCCUAGUAUGCAUGAGACCCUAGCUUCAAUCUCCAGUA
This 61-nucleotide transfer RNA is filed under the name Mesocricetus auratus (golden hamster). It matches the Rfam family "tRNA", at positions 6 to 65 of the family's 71-position model. From Rfam's summary of the family: Transfer RNA (tRNA) molecules are approximately 80 nucleotides in length. Their secondary structure includes four short double-helical elements and three loops (D, anti-codon, and T loops). The record is from Rfam by way of RNAcentral. Lineage: Eukaryota; Metazoa; Chordata; Mammalia; Rodentia; Cricetidae.